UCCAGCAUAGCAUAGCUGGUAAGCAACCGCUCCUCUCUUUUUCUGCUCCAGCAAUGGUGAUUUAUGUCUAGUGCUUAUGAUGCUUUGGACUUGUAGUUUAGUGAUGCCAAGUGUUGCAUCGAUAAUAUUUGAUCAAAACCACCCAAUUGAGUUGAACAAUCGAAGAGAGCCUGCUGCUAACAGACAUGUUUUCUUUCCUAAUAAAGAUUGGAUUGUUGUCCUGGCUCUGAAACAUGCAAUUUUUUUACCCGUCUAUAAGUCUUGAUCAAAUCCAGCUUGUAUCUACUUGUAGAUGUAGGCCGUUCUAUAUUUUUUGUCGAUUAAAAACCUGCUUGCAUGUAUCCAUUUUUUGUCCUUUACAACCUGAUCGAUGUACAACCUGUUUUCUUGAAAGUAAUUUUAGUUGAUUCUUUGUUGGAGCGCUAAGACUAUGCAUGGAACAUUAGUUUUUAUUAUCUCAAACUACCGCCAUGUGAUUAUGCAGGUGCCUAGUUUGUUUUUAUUAUAUAAAACUACCUCCCUGGAACAUUAGUUUGUCACCUUGUUUCUACUGAGUGAACAUUAGAUUUUAUAUGCUUCUGAUGCGUGAUCCUUCUAAUGCUAGGUGAUUUGUUUCUUGGAAUUUGGAAGAGGAAGACGAUGAAGCGUGGUGGUUAUCUAUCAAUAUGCCUUGUGUUCUGGUUGUACUUCAUAGCUAGUUUCAUUGUAUUUUGUACUGGUCUGGUUGUAUGAACAGUAUGUAAAGAUUGUAAUAGGCUACACUUAUUGGUCUGGUUGUAUUUUGUACUGGUCUGGUUGUACUGG
RNAcentral lists this long non-coding RNA (804 nucleotides) under Triticum aestivum (bread wheat). RNAcentral describes it as "long non-coding RNA (TAES_LNC008250)". Lineage: Eukaryota; Viridiplantae; Streptophyta; Magnoliopsida; Poales; Poaceae. The record is from RNAcentral.